RNAcentral lists this ribosomal RNA (140 nucleotides) under Streptococcus agalactiae. RNAcentral's name for it is "partial 16S ribosomal RNA". It matches the Rfam family "Bacterial small subunit ribosomal RNA", at positions 1 to 134 of the family's 1533-position model. Lineage: Bacteria; Bacillati; Bacillota; Bacilli; Lactobacillales; Streptococcaceae. The record is from RNAcentral.
UUUUAAUGAGAGUUUGAUCCUGGCUCAGGACGAACGCUGGCGGCGUGCCUAAUACAUGCAAGUAGAACGCUGAUGUNUGGUGUUUACACUAGACUGAUGAGUUGCGAACGGGUGAGUAACGCGUAGGUAACCUGCCUCAU